UGCCAGACUCCUACGGGAGGCAGCAGUGGGGAAUAUUGCACAAUGGGGGGAACCCUGAUGCAGCGACGCCGCAUGGGUGAAGGAGCACCUCGGUGCGUAAAGCCCUAUCGGCAGGGAAGAAACAGACGGUACCUGACUAAGAAGCCCCGGCUAACUCCGUGCCAGCAGCCGCGGUAAUACGGAGGAUGCGAGCGUUAUCCGGAUUUAUUGGGUUUAAAGGGUGCGUAGGCGGGCUGUUAAGUCAGCGGUCAAAUGUCGGGGCUCAACCCCGGCCUGCCGUUGAAACUGGCGGCCUCGAGUGGGCGAGAAGUAUGCGGAAUGCGUGGUGUAGCGGUGAAAUGCAUAGAUAUCACGCAGAACUCCGAUUGCGAAGGCAGCAUACCGGCGCCCUACUGACGCUGAGGCACGAAAGCGUGGGUAUCGAACAGGAUUAGAUACCCCAGUA
This 445-nucleotide ribosomal RNA is filed under the name uncultured bacterium. Its description in RNAcentral is "bacterial SSU rRNA". It matches the Rfam family "Bacterial small subunit ribosomal RNA", at positions 329 to 792 of the family's 1533-position model. The record is from RNAcentral.